CAACUCUGGUUUCUCUUCAGAUUGUAUAAAUCUUUUGCCUUUUAUCAAAGAUCUCCACGGAGAGAAACAAUGAUAAGUUUUCACUUUGAGGAAGGCUUAGUGGAUAAAGCAC
Molecule: small nuclear RNA, 112 nt
Organism: Trichosurus vulpecula (common brushtail)
Lineage: Eukaryota; Metazoa; Chordata; Mammalia; Diprotodontia; Phalangeridae
Product: U5 spliceosomal RNA
Exons: 1
Source: RefSeq, a predicted model, not a curated record